This 21-nucleotide unclassified non-coding RNA is filed under the name Dictyostelium discoideum. The record is from RNAcentral. Lineage: Eukaryota; Evosea; Eumycetozoa; Dictyosteliales; Dictyosteliaceae.
UCUACUUCCAAACUUCAAGCC